AGUGAACGCUGGCGGUAGGCCUAACACAUGCAAGUCGAACGGCAGCACAGUAAGAGCUUGCUCUUACGGGUGGCGAGUGGCGGACGGGUGAGGAAUACAUCGGAAUCUACUUUUUCGUGGGGGAUAACGUAGGGAAACUUACGCUAAUACCGCAUACGACCUACGGGUGAAAGCAGGGGAUCUUCGGACCUUGCGCGAGUGAAUGAGCCGAUGUCGGAUUAGCUAGUUGGCGGGGUAAAGGCCCACCAAGGCGACGAUCCGUAGCUGGUCUGAGAGGAUGAUCAGCCACACUGGAACUGAGACACGGUCCAGACUCCUACGGGAGGCAGCAGUGGGGAAUAUUGGACAAUGGGCGCAAGCCUGAUCCAGCCAUACCGCGUAGGUGAAGAAGGCCUUCGGGUUGUAAAGCCCUUUUGUUGGGAAAGAAAAGCAGCAGGUUAAUACCCCGCUGUUCUGACGGUACCCAAAGAAUAAGCACCGGCUAACUUCGUG
RNAcentral lists this ribosomal RNA (492 nucleotides) under uncultured bacterium. RNAcentral's name for it is "partial 16S ribosomal RNA". It matches the Rfam family "Bacterial small subunit ribosomal RNA", at positions 29 to 507 of the family's 1533-position model. The record is from RNAcentral.